CCUCCCGUAGUUCAAUGGAUAGAACAAGAGACUUCUAAUCUCUAGAUCUAAGUUCGAUUCUUAGCGGGAGGACAA
Molecule: transfer RNA, 75 nt
Filed under: Minisyncoccota bacterium
Lineage: Bacteria; Bacillati; Minisyncoccota
Description: tRNA-Arg
Rfam family: tRNA
About the family: Transfer RNA (tRNA) molecules are approximately 80 nucleotides in length. Their secondary structure includes four short double-helical elements and three loops (D, anti-codon, and T loops).
Source: RNAcentral